AAUACCGCAUAACGUCGCAAGACCAAAGAGGGGGACCUUCGGGCCUCUUGCCAUCAGAUGUGCCCAGAUGGGAUUAGCUUGUUGGUGAGGUAACGGCUCACCAAGGCGACGAUCCCUAGCUGGUCUGAGAGGAUGACCAGCCACACUGGAACUGAGACACGGUCCAGACUCCUACGGGAGGCAGCAGUGGGGAAUAUUGCACAAUGGGCGCAAGCCUGAUGCAGCCAUGCCGCGUGUAUGAAGAAGGCCUUCGGGUUGUAAAGUACUU
Molecule: ribosomal RNA, 268 nt
Filed under: Salmonella enterica subsp. enterica
Lineage: Bacteria; Pseudomonadati; Pseudomonadota; Gammaproteobacteria; Enterobacterales; Enterobacteriaceae
Also listed under: 2 other names
Description: partial 16S ribosomal RNA
Rfam family: Bacterial small subunit ribosomal RNA
Source: RNAcentral